Molecule: small nucleolar RNA, 136 nt
Filed under: Piliocolobus tephrosceles (Ugandan red Colobus)
Lineage: Eukaryota; Metazoa; Chordata; Mammalia; Primates; Cercopithecidae
Description: U8 small nucleolar RNA (ENSPTEG00000007537.1)
Rfam family: U8 small nucleolar RNA
About the family: U8 is a member of the C/D class of snoRNA which contain the C (UGAUGA) and D (CUGA) box motifs. U8 is the RNA component of a small complex (the U8 snoRNP) which is required for accumulation of mature large subunit ribosomal RNAs, 5.8S and 28S rRNAs. U8 RNA has been identified in human, mouse, rat and Xenopus.
Source: Rfam by way of RNAcentral
UCGUCAGGUGGGAUAAUCCUUACCUGUUCCUCUUUUGGAGGACAGAUUAGAAUGUGAUGAUUGGAGAAUGCAUGAAACGUGAUUAACGUCUCUGCGUAAUCUGGGGCUUGCAACACCCUGAUUGCUCCUAUCUGAU